UAUAGGGAGACCAACUCAAUUUGAGAUUUGGGAUGGGGGAUUUUAGAUUGAGAAAGUCAAAUCCCCAAUCGUCAAUUAAAAAUCUCAAAUUGUGACAUCCCAAGGUCGGACGACACAAGCAAAAAAACUCAAGUGGCAAAACUGGCAAGCUUUCAAACUAGCACUGGUUCGGUGGAUGUGACACCAGCAGUAGGGGCUAUUAGCUCAGGUGGUUAGAGCGCACCCCUGAUAAGGGUGAGGUCCCUGGUUCGAGUCCAGGAUGGCCCACUCAAAUGAAGUCGGAAGUCGGAAGUCGGAACAGAGCAAUUGAGACUGAUGACAAAGACAAAAAGAUGGUGAUAGACUAGUCAAGUUGGAAAAAUUCAGCACUGUCUGCCGUGCGGACAACUGCUGGAAACUUCCAGCGAAAAAGCACCUUGAAAACUGCAUAGAGAAGAGAAAUAGUCAGGUAGAAACCAAGUAUUUGCGUCAAUUACU
This 477-nucleotide transfer RNA is filed under the name Chroococcidiopsidales cyanobacterium Hutten-14135-NP13. RNAcentral's name for it is "16S-23S ribosomal RNA intergenic spacer". The stretch from base 194 to 267 matches the Rfam family "tRNA". RNAcentral also lists the same sequence under 1 other name. The record is from RNAcentral. Lineage: Bacteria; Bacillati; Cyanobacteriota; Cyanophyceae; Chroococcidiopsidales.